Poecilia reticulata (guppy) is the source of this 1731-nucleotide long non-coding RNA. RefSeq lists it as uncharacterized. The record is from RefSeq and is a predicted model, not a curated record. Lineage: Eukaryota; Metazoa; Chordata; Actinopteri; Cyprinodontiformes; Poeciliidae.
UUUAAUCAUACAGAUCCCCUGCAGAGCGGGGGGUUAUUGAUGCCUCUCACAACGUAUAGCUUUGACCAAUUUGAACGCAAUUAAGCAGUGGGGAGGACUUCCCUGCGCAUUUUACGUCCAUUAACAGCGCACUUCCAACUGUACGGAGUUAGUUUUUUACUGUAAAUAUGAUCAGAAAAACUGAUAACGGAGUAAGAUGAGGCGAAAGAAAAGAAACGAAGGUCUAAAAUUGAAUCCAUAAAACAUGAAAUGAAUUAAAGCGCGGAGAGAAUUUAAUUGUCUAAAAGAAGAAGAAGGAGAAGAAAAAGAAACAACAACAUCCGUCCACACUUCGAAUAGAAAUUGAUUAGGUAUGACUGUUGGUCACACAGCAUUACAGCAAUUUAAGGCCUGUCAGCAGCUCCUCUCCCUCACAAUGGCCUCGGCUGAGAAGCAACAGGCGUUUUCUUUCUCCAGGUCAUACUAUUUAAUAAGCCAGACAAAGUUGCGUUUUGCGAGGCGCCAGGCUCUGCGGGAUCAAAAAAAAAAAAAAAAAAACGGAAGAUACCUCGGGCAGACAAGAAAGAAAGAAAGAAAGAAAAAGGCAACUAGGUAACUCCACUUAACCAAUUGUCCUCAAAAUAUUUCAUAGUCCACCGCGUGGAGCAGGGAGGAGGAAGAAGAAGAAGGCAAGGCUGCUGCGGUUCAUGUUGGAGCGCUUCAUGAGUUUUUUUUUUUUUUUUUUUUUACUAAAGCAGGAGAUGAAACGGCAGGAAGGUGUUUUCACAUCCAAACUGACGUCUCAUUAAGCGUGUCAGCAGCAGCGCACUGCGGCCACCAAACCAACACGAGAUUCCACGGAGCAUUAGCAGCCGUCAACACCACCAAUCACACUUCCCGAGCGAACCGGCRUGCAAAGGGAAAACAUCGGCCCUAUUAAUGUCUCCAUGCUCCCUCGCCACUUUAAUAGCUUCAUUUGUCCGCUUUAUGGUCGCGCUUYCCGAAUUGAAGAAACGUUGAACGGACAACGUCUGACUCACGACGUGAGACGGCCAUUCCCCCCCCCACAACCAGACAAAGAACAAGCGAUCCUUUGACUGACAGGAUUUAUGCUCAGGGGUCACGGAUGGCCGACCUCUCGAAAGCCCUCAGGUGCAGAAAACAGUUUAGCCUUCGUCAGGUGAAACCAGCCCUCUGUCUCCCCGCUGCUUCUCUUCGCCCAGCUGGUUUGUGUUUAAAUGCCAAGCAAGUGCGUCCCGACACGCAACGAGACCGUGGGAUGGGAGUCCGUGGAGAUCCAUCUGAUACAGGGUGACGCUGCGAGACGUUAUGGGAGACGACAAAGGCUUCAAAAGUCGAAUGCCUCAAGAAUAGCGGGGAGAAGGAGCUCCAUCAUCUGAGACAUGCUGCUGGAUGUUCCAGUCUGACCACUAAGUGUAACUACUGAAGCUCCUUUGUCUUGUUUUUCUCCUGUUUGUCCACCUGUUGCACUCCUGAAAUCCCCCCAAAAAAUUCAGAAGUGUAACAGGUGUUCAGAGAUAGUCUUUAGGUUAGCAUAUUACUUUUAAUAUCUGGUUUAAUGAUACAUUUCUCAAACAUUGUCUUAUGCUUGAUUCUCAUCUCCCUUCAGUGAUCUGUGUUGACUUUUUCCCAUUGAGCUUGAUUUCCCAGGAUUUGACAUAGAUUUUCUGUGCUGUUCUUGAGUUAUGGUCUUGUAUUUAAGCAAUGAUGGAAAUAAAUGAAGUGAUUCAA